This 298-nucleotide long non-coding RNA is filed under the name Vulpes vulpes (red fox). Its description in RNAcentral is "lncRNA (ENSVVUG00000020647.1)". The record is from RNAcentral. Lineage: Eukaryota; Metazoa; Chordata; Mammalia; Carnivora; Canidae.
ACAAUGAAAUUGCAGUUUAAUAUUGUUCUUUUACUUUAUUUGAUCCUAUUUUUUUGCAGGUUAUAACUGAGCAACAUGGAAAAUCAUAAAGGCUGCUUCAAGAAGAAUGAUUACAGUGAUGGACUCUCAGAUUGCAACAUUUUGCUUAAAAAUCUAAUGAGAACAGACAGAUGAAGACACUACGAGAGGACUCUAUAAUGAAAUUGGGAAUAGAAGAAAGAUUCUAAUACUGGGAAGCCAUAAAAUAUAUUUAAACAUGAGUAGUUAAAAUCUGAACUGCUGAAAAUGUCAUUGUGUG